GGAGAGGUGGCUGAGUGGCUUAAAGCGACGGUUUGCUAAACCGUUUAGCGGGCUUCAACCUGCUACGGGGGUUCGAAUCCCCCCCUCUCCG
This 91-nucleotide transfer RNA is filed under the name Phycisphaerae bacterium. Its description in RNAcentral is "tRNA-Ser". It matches the Rfam family "tRNA". From Rfam's summary of the family: Transfer RNA (tRNA) molecules are approximately 80 nucleotides in length. The record is from RNAcentral. Lineage: Bacteria; Pseudomonadati; Planctomycetota; Phycisphaerae.